AACGAACGCUGGCGGCAUGCCUAACACAUGCAAGUCGAACGAAACCAUCGGGUCUAGUGGCGCAUGGGUGCGUAACCCGUGGGAACCUGCCCUUGGGUUUGGCAUAACUCCCCGAAUGGGGUGCUAAUACCGGCUCAUAUCUUCGGACCGAACAUUUAUCGCAUUUGGAUGGGCCCAGGUUGGAUCAGAUAGUUGGUAGGGUAAAAGCCUACCAAGGCGACGAUCCGUAACUGAUUUGAGAGGCUGAUCAGCCACACUGGGACUGAGACACGGUCCAGACUCCUACGGGAGGCAGCAGUGGGGAAUAUUGCACAAUGGGCGAAAGCCUGAUCGAGCAAUGCCGCGUGUGUGAUGAAGGUCUUCGGAUUGUAAAGCACUGUAAGUUGGGAGGAAGGAAAGUAAGGUUAUACCUGCAUGUCUUGACGUUACCAAAAGAAUAAGCCCCGGCUAACUUCGUG
RNAcentral lists this ribosomal RNA (458 nucleotides) under uncultured bacterium. RNAcentral describes it as "partial 16S ribosomal RNA". It matches the Rfam family "Bacterial small subunit ribosomal RNA", at positions 29 to 507 of the family's 1533-position model. The record is from RNAcentral.